Long non-coding RNA from Acinonyx jubatus (cheetah), 1760 nucleotides. RefSeq lists it as uncharacterized. The transcript has 3 exons. Lineage: Eukaryota; Metazoa; Chordata; Mammalia; Carnivora; Felidae. The record is from RefSeq and is a predicted model, not a curated record.
UCGGGAGUUUUUCCCAAGGUCACGGGGUCAGAAAGCAAUAGCACAGGACCCAAACGCAGAGUCCACUGCAUGACACGGAGGAUGAGACAAGAAUGGAAGGAGAAGUCACAGUUAGGGAUGAGGACUGUGCUUUGGGGAGGGGGCAGGAAAGGCAACUUGAAGCACUUUGCAGGAUGUUGGCCUCGCAAGAUGAGAGGAACUGAGCUGACAACAAGCUGAGCGAGGCUAUUUCCAGGCAAGAAGACAGAAGAAAACACUGCAUGUCUGGGAGAAGGCUUCAUUUACCCGCUGAAGAAAGCGGCGUGUUUGUCUGCUUCGCCACUCAGAGGUGGAUGGGAGCAAUAUGGCAGAGGGUCUUGAAUGCUAGGGGGAUGUGGUAAGGUCUUCCUGGAUCUAAUCAGCAAUCUGUAAAAGCUAACAAGGCACUGAUGAGGCCAAGGUUAUAUGUGAAUCUCCAGCAUUCACAAGGGAACCCAAGUGCAAGGUGUUUACAGUUUAGUACAAAGUAAUCGAUUCCCAGGGCCAAAAAAAGCAAUGGGAAGCAAUGGGAAGUGAUUUGGAGAAUUGGUAUGUGAAGGGAACCAAAGAAUGAACACCAAAGGCCGUAAAGUGGUUGAGACCAACGAUCUUUAUGGAAUCAAUGGAAUUAAAUCUAGUUCCAUAUGGCUGCUUGUUCUUUCAAUUAUUGAGUGCCUACUGUGUGGCCAGCACCAUUCCCAGGACUUGGGAUGGAUCAGUGAACAAAAUACAGUGACCAAACUCCCUGCCAUCAAGGAGCUCACCUCCUUGUGUGCUUAGUGCUGAUUCCUGACCAGGAAGAUUCUUAACUCUCAAAACCUAAGAUUCCACUUUCAUACUGUACUCUUCAGAUCCCAUCACCCCAAAGAGAAAUGCAAAUCUCUCUAGCGUGAAGCUGGGCAGCGAUGCAGAAAGACAGACACAGCACUUCUGACUCAAGAGCAAGGGCAAUCUUACCGCCGGGUGGUUACAAGGAAACUUAAGAUGGGCAGGGCGUCAAGACUUGCCUCUGAGCUGGAUCAUAAAACCAAAAGCAAAACCAAGGUGAAGGAUUGGCUGUGUGCCCCUUGAAGAUGAUUCAAGUUAGCCUGGGGUACCCUCUCUGCUUUCCACUCCCCAACUGGGAUUAACUUUGGAAUCUUCCAUAACUGUAGAGAAACUGGGGGCUCUCCAAUCCUAGCCUGGGUAAACACUACUUCAAGACAAAUCGGAAUGGCCUUGCACUGUAAAAGCAGGAAAGGCAGAUGGGAAAUAAGUCCACUCGUUUAGGUAGGAGAUAUUCUACAAUAUAGCCUUGUUCUUAGAACACAGCAGAAUGAGAGGUCUGGGAUUUUCCUCAGAAUUGCUAAAAGCAAUCUACAGAUGAAGAGAAACUGCUAAACGAUAAGCUGAUGGUCAUUGUUUCUCCCCCCUCCAAAAAAAAGAAAGAAAGGAAAAAAAAGACACCUCAAGGUCAUUCCCCUGCUCCCCAGAAAACUCUCCCCGCAGAAUUAAAAUUCCUGAAACUCAAACCAUGUGAUCUGACCAGACGCCCCGAAGACGGUUCGUGGGAGACGAGGCUCAAGCUUUUGGCUCGAGGUGAGAUGUGGAAUCUUCUCUGGAUCUCAGACUCUUUCUCGACCAACAACGCAUGUGUUUUAGAUGUUUGGCAAGGAGCUUGGUUUUCCCUGGGCGAUCGUGUACAGGAAGAGGGUGAUGACCUCCAGGAACCAAAGUCUUUGGCUCAGACAACAAGCACGUAU